ACAACAGGAGGUGUCUUAGGACACUUUACAGAUAGAGUAGGUCUAGAUCAAACUCUAUAAUUUACAUUAACCCAACAAUUUCCCACCAGCAAGCAUCUAGUGCGACAGUGGUGAGGAUAACUUCCUUUUUAGGUAGUGAUCUCGCAC
This is a long non-coding RNA of Etheostoma spectabile (orangethroat darter), 147 nucleotides long. RefSeq lists it as uncharacterized. Lineage: Eukaryota; Metazoa; Chordata; Actinopteri; Perciformes; Percidae. The record is from RefSeq and is a predicted model, not a curated record. The transcript has 3 exons.